This is a long non-coding RNA of Pectinophora gossypiella (pink bollworm), 1946 nucleotides long. RefSeq lists it as uncharacterized. NCBI's taxonomy places the organism in Eukaryota, Metazoa, Arthropoda, Insecta, Lepidoptera, Gelechiidae. The record is from RefSeq and is a predicted model, not a curated record. The transcript has 4 exons.
CCGUAGUCCGGUGUCGAGCCGGUGGGUGCCGCCGGCGACUCAGCACACCAGGUGAGUCCCUGUUGAGGGAGACCCGGUGAGCGACUCCAACCAGACUGGUACAACCAAGGCUUAUCCCUACUACCGUACCUUGCACGUGUGUCGUAAACAAGUGUUGUUUCUUAGCUAGCCGCACGUGCUGUUUACAGUUAAUAUAAUAUUUAGGUUUCAGUAUAAAGCUGUUGCGCUGCAUUAUAAGGCGAUUCUCACACUGCCCCGCAUGAUGCAGCGUAGCGCGUGGAUGCGUGUUCUUCCGUUGCUUGAUCCGAACCCGGGACCUCCGGAUCGUGAGUCCGACGCGCAACCACUGGACCACGGCGGCCGUAUGAUUUGAAUCCGAAAUACCAACAUCCAUCUGAGUCGGAGCGACUGCAGCGAGUGAGCGUAGCAUUAGUAAGAAAUACGAUGCAAGCGAUGUGAAGGCGUCGCGGGCUCGCACUUGCUCAAGACAGGUGAAAGAAGUUUCCACGGAGAGUCCGCCUGAUUAAUGGUUGCUGGCGAAGAGAUAAAAACUAUGCGAACACUUGUGCAGUGUUUUCAAAAGGAUGCUCUACAACAGUUUCAAUUUUGAGUCGUUAAUGAUUUUCUCGUCGAUUCAAAGGAUAUCGUAUCUUGCCAUUACAAUUGAUUUUGCAGGUGAUUGUUUUACUAGAAGUAACCUAGAAGUUUGUAUAUGAAAAAAAUGUGUAAGUACUUUAAAACAAAAUACGUUUCAGGCUAAUUGUAACGCAGUCUGUAAACUCAAUAACAUUCGCUUUGGGAAUCGAUCGAACACAGUGUACCUAUAUGGUUUGGUGCGCCAGAUAGUGUAGUAAAAUACGGAAGAACAGUAAUCACACUUAUUUAUUCUGGUAUCAAGAAAAUAACACUUAACUUGGUAAACACGUCCGAUGUCGACAAGGUCCCCAAUGCAAGAGAGCGUGUAUCAAUCCGUCCGAUUUGACAACCCCAUUCUUGUGUUGCCAUUUAUGGAAAAAUGUUUUAUAACUGUCAACGAACUAUUCAGCCUAACAAUAGAUAGAUAGGUACUACAAAGUAUUAGAUUCAAAAACUCAGAAUUUUCUUUUUUAAAUUAAAUAGUUCAUCAUUAAAAUGGUUCUGGCAGAGCUAGACGUAGAAAGACGCACGUUGACCAAAUUGGAGAUGACUUAAGAAAAGGUUCAGUACGAUCUACUCUGAACCGGCAUGCGUGUAUGAAACGAUUGAUGAAUGUGGAGAAAGCGAGAGAUGUGUGUCAGAUGCAAAUCGAAUUCCAUAGUCUCUGCUUACCCCGGUGGGAAAUAGGCAUGAGUUUAUGUAUGUAUGUGUAUGAAAAAUGAUUGGGUUGAUUGAGAGGAGGCCUAUGCUCGGCACUGGAACAUAUAAAAUAAUGUUUAUUUUUAUGUUGUGUUGUCUUUAAAACUAUUCAGUUAUAUUUAUUUGAUGUGGAGACCCCAGUCGAAAUACAUACUAUCUGUGCAUUUUUACUGUAUAUACAUUGUAUUUGUCUUUCUCUUUCUUGCUGAUUUUGUUCCAUUAUCUUCGCCCCAAUUCGUUAAUACCGUCCAAAUCCAUUCCUUCACUCACUAAGUACGCUUCACGAGGAAGCACUUAGUCUCCUCAUUUCAUAUUAAGCCUUCUCAAAUUAAAGGAAAAUAUUGGCAAUGUAGUCACUAAAUAAAAAUGUAAUAUUGGUGCCUAUUUGGGUAGACACUUUAACCUAUUUUUUACUCGACUGCGGAAAUUGGAGAUGUGUUUGACCGCUAUGUAUUCAUGUACAAAUGUAUGUAUGCACAUAUGUUUCAACCUAACUUCUAAACCACUUGUCAGAAUUUAACAAAUGAGCUAUCACUAGAAGCAUCUUGACUGUCCGAUGGUUAUAGGCUACGUGACGUCACGCUAAAUUCAAUGUGGCGCCCUCUAGAGGG